GACGAACGCUGGCGGCGUGCCUAACACAUGCAAGUCGAACGGAAAGGCCCUGCUUUUGUGGGGUGCUCGAGUGGCGAACGCGUGCGUAACACGUGAGUAACCUGCCCUUGACUUUGGGAUAACUUCAGGAAACUGGGGCUAAUAUCGGACAGGAGCCCCCGCUGCAUGGUGGGGGUUGGAAAGUUUGGGCGGUUGGGGAUGGACUCGCGGCUUAUCAGCUUGUUGGUGGGGUAGUGGCUGACCAAGGCUUUGACGGGUAGCCGGCCUGAGAGGGUGGCCGGCCACAUUGGGCCUGAGGGACGGCCCAGACUCGUACGGGAGGCAGCGGGGGGAAGUAUUGCACAAUGGGCGGAAGCCUGAUGCGGCAGCGCCGCGUGCGGGAUGACGGCCUGCGGGUUAUGAACCGCUUUCGCCUGUGACGAAGCGUGAGUGACGGUAAUGGGUAAAGAAGCACCGGCUAACUACGUG
RNAcentral lists this ribosomal RNA (468 nucleotides) under uncultured bacterium. Its description in RNAcentral is "partial 16S ribosomal RNA". It matches the Rfam family "Bacterial small subunit ribosomal RNA", at positions 28 to 507 of the family's 1533-position model. The record is from RNAcentral.